GGGGUCACCGAUGUCGUUUACGAGUUAAAUUACCUUAAAGCCAAAAUAUUCGCCAUUUUGAAACGUCAUUGUUGCCAUAGCAACGGCAGUUGCGUAACUUAUGUGAAAAAGUUCAAACCCUUUAUAUGUUGUUUUACAUCAGUAAGAUACUUUUUGUUUUUCAACAAGUAAUAAUUCUCCAAAAAUACGGAUCUAAAUCGUGAAUUUUCCAUUUUAAACAACUAUAUCGAGCCACCUUAUUAAAUCCUUUAUUCCGGUGUCCCAGGAAAUAUGGCCCCUCUUCGAAAAUCCCCCCUCCCUCCUUCAGGACCGAACGAUUAGAAGCAGAU
This is a non-coding RNA of Paramuricea clavata, 329 nucleotides long. The record is from the annotation of a GenBank genome assembly. NCBI's taxonomy places the organism in Eukaryota, Metazoa, Cnidaria, Anthozoa, Malacalcyonacea, Plexauridae.